UAAAAUUCUCUCCAGCGAGGAGAGGACCAUGACGGCCAGGCCACGCUUGCUCUGAAAAGCGCCGAGCGUGGAAGGGUGUCUUGGAAUGGGGUCUAAAAGGGAGAACGACAUCCUUAUGACUUGCUUUAGGCUGCUUUCUGGAUGUAUUUUCAGAGCUGGGGAUGAGGAGAGGUUGCGUAAAGGUGCCGGCCUGCUGCUGGCCGGGGCUGGCAGCCUUUCAGCCGCCGCGGUGAUAGGGUCUUGCUAUGUUGCCUCGGCUGGAAUGCAGUGGCUGUUCAUAGACAUUAUCACAGCACACUACAGUCUCAAACUCCUGGACUCAAGCAAUCCUCCUGCCUCAGCCUCCUGAGUAGCUAGGACUACUGGGAUGCACUACUGCUCUUGGCAAAUUAAGGAUUUUGAGAUGGAGAGACUAUCCUGGAUUAUCUGAUGGGCUUAAUCAUUGACAAAGGUUCUUAUAUAAGGAAAAGUCAAUGUGAUAAUGGAAGCAGAUUUGAAGAUGCUGUGCAACUGGCUUUGAAGAUGGAGGACGGGGCCACAAGCCAAGGAUUGUUGGCAGCCUCUAAGCUGGAAGAGGUAAGAAGCAUAUUCUCCUGUGGCACCUCCGGGAGAAAUGCAGUACUGCCUAUACCUUGACUUUAGCCAAGUGAAACUAAUUUUAGACUUCUCACCUCCAGAACUGUAAGAUAAUAAAUUUGUGUUGAUUUAAGACACUAUGUUUGUGGUAAUUGGUUACAGCAAUAGGAAACUAAUAGACCAGGCAUUAUGUUAAGUGCUUUAUAUCAUUAAAGAAAUGUAUACAAAUCCAC
This 809-nucleotide long non-coding RNA is filed under the name Homo sapiens (human). Its description in RNAcentral is "HSALNT0214509". Lineage: Eukaryota; Metazoa; Chordata; Mammalia; Primates; Hominidae. The record is from RNAcentral.